This 253-nucleotide ribosomal RNA is filed under the name uncultured bacterium. RNAcentral's name for it is "partial 16S ribosomal RNA". It matches the Rfam family "Bacterial small subunit ribosomal RNA", at positions 524 to 776 of the family's 1533-position model. The record is from RNAcentral.
UACGGGGGGUGCGAGCGUUGUCCGGAAUCACUGGGCGUAAAGGGCGCGUAGGUGGUUUGAUAAGGGUGUGGUGAAAGUCCGGGGCUCAACCCCGGAUCUGCCGUGCCGACUGUCAAACUCGAGGGCUGUAGAGGCAGACGGAAUUCCGGGUGUAGCGGUGGAAUGCGUAGAGAUCUGGAGGAAGACCGGUGGCGAAGGCGGUCUGCUGGGCAGUUUCUGACACUGAUGCGCGACAGCGUGGGGAGCAAACAGG